GGGGAGGUGUCCGAGGGGCUGAAGGAGCCCGCCUGGAAAGUGUGUAUACGGAAACGUAUCGGGGGUUCGAAUCCCCCCCUCACCGCCA
This 88-nucleotide transfer RNA is filed under the name Salmonella enterica. RNAcentral's name for it is "tRNA-Ser". It matches the Rfam family "tRNA". Rfam says of the family: Transfer RNA (tRNA) molecules are approximately 80 nucleotides in length. Their secondary structure includes four short double-helical elements and three loops (D, anti-codon, and T loops). Further hydrogen bonds mediate the characteristic L-shaped molecular structure. tRNAs have two regions of fundamental functional importance: the anti-codon, which is responsible for specific mRNA codon recognition, and the 3' end, to which the tRNAs corresponding amino acid is attached (by aminoacyl-tRNA synthetases). tRNAs cope with the degeneracy of the genetic code in two manners: having more than one tRNA (with a specific anti-codon) for a particular amino acid; and 'wobble' base-pairing, i.e. permitting non-standard base-pairing at the 3rd anti-codon position. The record is from RNAcentral. Lineage: Bacteria; Pseudomonadati; Pseudomonadota; Gammaproteobacteria; Enterobacterales; Enterobacteriaceae.